AAUUAUGGCCAUUCAUUGCAGACGUAAGCUUUUGCUUUUCUUAUCACUUACUUUAGUAUACAAUUAGAUGUGAAUAGGCAAAAUUUUGUGAGAUAACUUUGUUGCUGGUAGGAUUCUUUGUUUUUUUCCAAGAUAAAGGUAGAUAUUUGUUACAUAUUAUAGGAAGAGGAGAAGAAAUGUUAGAGGUGUUGGGAAUUAAUUGUAAUUGAAGACUAUUAGUUGAAAUUGGAGGGAAAUAACUGAUUGUAGUUUUGGAGGGAAAAUAAUAGAACUGUUAUUCUGUUACAGAAGUAAUUACUGAUGACUGCUUGUAAAAGGGGAAAUACUAGUGUUAAAAAUUCAUUGAAGAAAAUCAAUAAAGAAUGCUCUCCUUCUCUCUAACUCUUUUUCUAUCUCUUUUCUCUCUCUUCCUCUUCUCAUCCCAUAUUCUGAUUUCUUCUCUCAUCCCAAACUCUCUUUCCUCUCUAAACUCUCUCAAUUUCGAGAGAUAGCUGCUGUAACUUUACACUUCCUCAUUGCAACUCUAAGUUGAAGAAUAUGCUAGAAGAAAAGGCAAAAUCACCUGUUAUUUGUGGUGACCUUAAUAAGCAUUGUCUUAACUAAGUUUCACUUUCUCUGCCCAAUUGCACAUGUUCAUUUCAUAGUAACACCGAUCUGCUUUAGUUGUGAAAAAUCCUAUCUAGAUAUGAUGCCUUCCUUGUAUUUAGUUGAUGUUUGCUUGAUUUCUUUGAAAUGAUUCAGUAUAGGUGGAAUUGCUAAGUGGAUUUGUUUCAUUUGUAAUUUUAUGACCGUGUGCUCCUUGUUCUUGUUGCCUGGCUGAUUUUCUCUUUGAGCACUAUUCAUCUAAACUUUUCCCUUUACGGGGUGUGAUAUUUAACCUUAGUUCUUUAAAUAGAUGAGCAGAACCAGUGUUUUGUGUUGCAGGUUUCUGAGACAUAAUUGAUGUGCCAUGUUCUUAAUUUCCUGUUUAAGAUAUGACUAGUUGGAUUGUAACUGUUUCCCUUUCCUUUUGUAGUCCCAUAUGUUAGGCCUUGGGAGAGCCAUAAUUUCCAUAAAGAUAUAAAUAUACUUAACACGUUAGUAGAAGCAGUUUUGCCUGUGGGCUUGAGUUUUGAGUAAGCCUUAAUAAUUGUUUGUGGACAAUAAUUUCUGGUGAUUCAGAAGUCGAAGCAAAUCAACG
This 1180-nucleotide unclassified non-coding RNA is filed under the name Hevea brasiliensis (rubber tree). Lineage: Eukaryota; Viridiplantae; Streptophyta; Magnoliopsida; Malpighiales; Euphorbiaceae. The record is from RNAcentral.